AUUGAACGCUGGCGGCAGGCUUAACACAUGCAAGUCGAGCGGGGUGAUGGUGCUUGCACUAUCACUUAGCGGCGGACGGGUGAGUAAUGCUUAGGAAUCUGCCUAUUAGUGGGGGACAACAUCUCGAAAGGGAUGCUAAUACCGCAUACGUCCUACGGGGGAAAGCAGGGGAUCACUUGUGACCUUGCGCUAAUAGAUGAGCCUAAGUCGGAUUAGCUAGUUGGUGGGGUAAAGGCCUACCAAGGCGACGAUCUGUAGCGGGUCUGAGAGGAUGAUCCGCCACACGGGGACUGGAACACGGCCCAGACUCCUACGGGAGGCAGCAGUGGGGAAUAUUGGACAAUGGGGGGAACCCUGAUCCAGCCAUGCCGCGUGUGUGAAGAAGGCCUUAUGGUUGUAAAGCACUUUAAGCGAGGAGGAGGCUCUUUUGGUUAAUACCCAGAAUGAGUGGACGUUACUCGCAGAAUAAGCACCGGCUAACUCUGUGCCAGCCGCCGCAGUAA
This 503-nucleotide ribosomal RNA is filed under the name uncultured bacterium. RNAcentral describes it as "partial 16S ribosomal RNA". It matches the Rfam family "Bacterial small subunit ribosomal RNA", at positions 30 to 523 of the family's 1533-position model. The record is from RNAcentral.